ACUUAGGCCAUCUUCUUAGACUAGAUCAUUAAUUGGUUUAACAUUGUGCUUUGUUUAGUAAGACAAAAUAGCCCCCAAUGACACUGAUAAAAACCUAAGAUCUGGGAAAGGGGCG
Molecule: long non-coding RNA, 115 nt
Organism: Myotis brandtii (Brandt's bat)
Lineage: Eukaryota; Metazoa; Chordata; Mammalia; Chiroptera; Vespertilionidae
Exons: 3
Source: RefSeq, a predicted model, not a curated record